This 273-nucleotide ribosomal RNA is filed under the name uncultured bacterium. Its description in RNAcentral is "partial 16S ribosomal RNA". It matches the Rfam family "Bacterial small subunit ribosomal RNA", at positions 524 to 796 of the family's 1533-position model. The record is from RNAcentral.
GACAGAGGGUGCAAACGUUGUUCGGAAUUACUGGGCGUAAAGCGCGUGUAGGCUGCUUGGAAAGUCGGAUGUGAAAGCCCUGGGCUCAACCUAGGAAGUGCAUUCGAAACUUCCAAGCUGGAGUGCUGGAGAGGAAGGCGGAAUUCUCGGUGUAGAGGUGAAAUUCGUAGAUAUCGAGAGGAACACCGGUGGCGAAGGCGGCCUUCUGGACAGUAACUGACGCUGAGACGCGAAAGCGUGGGGAGCAAACAGGAUUAGAAACCCCUGUAGUCC